Molecule: ribosomal RNA, 512 nt
Filed under: Typhina lamyi
Lineage: Eukaryota; Metazoa; Mollusca; Gastropoda; Neogastropoda; Muricidae
Description: partial 16S ribosomal RNA
Rfam family: Bacterial large subunit ribosomal RNA
Source: RNAcentral
GGCUCCUUGAGCCCAAAAAAUAAGGAGUCGGACCUGCCCAGUGAAUUUUUUUAACGGCCGCGGUACUCUGACCGUGCAAAGGUAGCAUAAUCAUUUGCCUUAUAAUUGAAGGCUUGUAUGAAUGGUUUGACAAGAAUGUAACUGUCUCUUUACAAUUAUCUAGAAUUUUAUAUAUGGGUGAAGAAGCCCAUAUUGCAAUGAUAGACAAGAAGACCCUAUCGAGCUUAAAAGAAGUUAGUAAACUUUGAAUUAAUGCUAAUUAGAAAAUUAAUUACUAAAAAUUUUGGUUGGGGCGACAGAGGAACAAAUAAAGCUUCCUUUUUGGUAAUACAAUAACAAACAAGUAAUGAUCCAAAAACUUUGAUUAAAGAAAUUAGUUACCGUAGGGAUAACAGCAUUAUCUUUUUUGAGAGCUCUAAUCGAAAAAAAGGUUUGUGACCUCGAUGUUGGACCAGAAUAUCCUGAAGAUGUAGCCGUCUUCAAGGGUUGGUCUGUUCGACCAUUAAAAUUCU